Molecule: ribosomal RNA, 1199 nt
Filed under: metagenome
Description: bacterial SSU rRNA
Rfam family: Bacterial small subunit ribosomal RNA
Source: RNAcentral
CUACGGGUGGCAGCAGUCGAGAAUUUUUCUCAAUGGGCGAAAGCCUGAAGGAGCGACGCCGCGUGGGGGAUGAAGGGCUUCGGUCCGUAAACCCCUGUCAUUUGCGAACAAACCUUAUGAUUGAACAUUUCAUGAGCUGAUUGUAGCGAAAGAGGAAGGGACGGCUAACUCUGUGCCGGCAGCCGCGGUAAUACAGAGGUCCCAAGCGUUGUUCGGAUUCACUGGGCGUAAAGGGUGCGCGGGUGGGCUGGCAAGUUCGAUGUGAAAGCCCCGGGCUUAACCCGGGAAUGGCAUUGAAAACUGUCGGUCUGGAGGGUUGGAGGGGGGACUGGAAUUCUUGGUGUAGCAGUGAAAUGCGUAGAUAUCAAGAGGAACACCAGUGGCGAAGGCGAGUCCCUGGACAAUACCUGACACUGAGGCACGAAAGCCAAGGGAGCAAACAGGAUUAGAUACCCUGGUAGUCUUGGCUGUAAACGGUGCGCAUUUGCUGUAAACGGAAUCGACCCCGUUUGUGGCGAAGCUAACGCGAUAAAUGCGCCGCCUGGGAAGUACGGUCGCAAGAUUAAAACUCAAAGAAAUUGACGGGGGCCUGCACAAGCGGUGGAGUAUGUGGCUUAAUUCGAUCAACGCGAAGAACCUUACCUGGCCUUGACAUGCAUUUGGUAGAACCAUGAAAGUGGGACGACCCCGCAAGGGGAGGAUGCACAGGUGCUGCAUGGCUGUCGUCAGCUCGUGUCGUGAGAUGUUGGGUUAAGUCCCGCAACGAGCGCAACCCUUGUGUCCUGUUGCCACUCGAACGAGAGUUCGAAGCACUCUGGACAGACUGCCUCGCUUAAACGAGGAGGAAGGUGGGGAUGACGUCAAGUCAGUAUGGCCCUUACGGCCAGGGCUGCACACGUACUACAAUGCAUGGCACAAAGGGAAGCUAGACCGCAAGGUGGAGCAAAUCCCAAAAAAACCAUGCCCAGUUCAGAUUGUCGUCUGCAACUCGACGACAUGAAGCCGGAAUCGCUAGUAAUGGCGCAUCAGCUACGGCGCCGUGAAUACGUUCCCAGGCCUUGUACACACCGCCCGUCACAUCAUGAAAGCCGGUUGUACCCGAAGUCCACUCUGUUAACCGCAAGGAGACAGUGGCCGAAGGUAUGGCUGGUGAUUGGGAUGAAGUCGUAACAAGGUAGCCGUAGGGGAACCUGCGGCUG